AGGGGUUAAGCAUCCUUUGAAAUCCACAAAUGUGGAUCCCGACUGAAUUCAUUUUUUUUCAAAUUGAGGAGGAGAAUAAAAUAAUGUACAAAUAUAAUAAACAUGCAAUAUACACAAGUAAUAAAGUAGACAAGUAAUAUGAGAAACAACUUAAUAUUUGUCUAUCGUCAACAAUAUACAUCAUAAUGAAUAUAACAUUCGAACUUUAUUCGAAUGACUUUGAUGAGAAGUGACUUCGGAGUACCUGUAAAGACACUUAGUAAAAGUGUUAGUAAUAAAUAAAUAUGAAUAAAAAUAAGUGAAUUAAACAAUAACUUAAAAAUAAACAUCCGUCUUAUUAACAUGAGAGGCCUUAGAAAUCGACGGUAAUUUCUUCAUCGGCCAUUUUUAACAAAUAAAAUAUAUAAACUUAAACUAAAUUUUCGUCUUUUACAAUGUAAAGGCCUCCAAAAUCGACGGAGAGAUUUUCUCAUUGACCAUUUUUAACAAACAAAAAAUUAAAUCCACAAAUAAACCAAUGAUAACGCAAUGGUAAAAUGAAAUAAUAAUAAGCAAGAUUAUAUUCCGAUCCAAAGUAAUCAACGAAGUAAACCACAAAAACUAUCAAAAGACAAACCACAUAUAUAUAGAAACAAUCAUUAAAAGAUUAUUGGAAAAGAGUCUAAAAGUAACAUAAAAUUAACAACUAGAUAUGAUAGCUAAGUAAUUGAUUUUAACAUUAUAACAAUAACAAAAUAAUCAAAAGACGGUAAUAAGCAAAACAAAAUAGAACAUUGGAAAGUGGCAAACAAAUACAAAAAGAAACAUUUGAACAGUAGCUUGAGAUUUUUUUAUUUUUGUAAACAUGUUUAUCAUCAAAAUAUAUAUAUAUAUUAAAUAAUAACAAAUAAGGGUAAGCAAAUCUAGGAAAAUUAUACACCAACAACUAUAACGUUAAGUGGUCAAACAAAUGUCAGCAAUAAAAUAAACAAAAAUAAUAGUAAUAAAAAUAAAUAAAAUAAUGUAGAUCAAUGAACAGGAAAAGAGGUUAGCUAGUUAUAAAUGAAGUUUGACCGAAGUUUAAUCUUUCCGGUGAAAUCUGAAAUGAGAUAAUAUACACUAUUUUACUUGAACAAAAAUAAUAACAUGAAAAUAAUUCAAAUCAGUUUCAACAAUCAUAAUAAAUAAAUAAUAACCAACAAAGAGAACAAAAUAUCAGUAAUAAGAAUCAAACCCAACAAAAAUAAAAUAGAACAAAGGUAACAAAUGAAGUUUCAACUCAAGCAAAAAGCCAAAACAUUAAUAUCCACCGGAGAAGAUAAAAUAUUGUUGGAAAAAAUAUUGGCCGGAGUUUGAACUUCUUCGGCCAGAUCUGAAAGAAAAAUGAAAUGAAAGAGAAAUAGUUUAUUUACCGGAGUUGGAGUAUUCGGACUGAAUCUGGUCUUUUAAUGCAACUGAUUUCGCCAGAGAGUGUGGGAUUUGUUCG
RNAcentral lists this long non-coding RNA (1465 nucleotides) under Solanum tuberosum (potato). RNAcentral describes it as "long non-coding RNA (STUB_LNC002149)". The record is from RNAcentral. Lineage: Eukaryota; Viridiplantae; Streptophyta; Magnoliopsida; Solanales; Solanaceae.